GUGCCAAAUUGGCGUGGAGACUGAAGUUCUUUGUUACCAGGAUAGUAUAGUCCAGGCAGUAAUUGAGGUAUAUUGCCAGGAGGCAAUAUACCUCCACUUUGCUCUUGAGGGACCACCUCCAGAAGUGAGAAGGGAGCCCAGUCUCCAUGAUUUAGGCAGUCCCUUGAUUUU
RNAcentral lists this small RNA (171 nucleotides) under Chelonoidis abingdonii (Abingdon island giant tortoise). RNAcentral describes it as "TUC338 (ENSCABG00000019338.1)". The record is from RNAcentral. Lineage: Eukaryota; Metazoa; Chordata; Testudines; Testudinidae.